This 253-nucleotide ribosomal RNA is filed under the name uncultured bacterium. RNAcentral describes it as "partial 16S ribosomal RNA". It matches the Rfam family "Bacterial small subunit ribosomal RNA", at positions 524 to 776 of the family's 1533-position model. The record is from RNAcentral.
UACGGAGGGUGCAAGCGUUAUCCGGAAUUAUUGGGCGUAAAGAGCUCGUAGGCGGUCUGUCGCGUCUGCUGUGAAAACUCAGGGCUUAACCCUGAGCUUGCAGUGGGUACGGGCAGACUAGAGUGCGGUAGGGGAGACUGGAAUUCCUGGUGUAGCGGUGAAAUGCGCAGAUAUCAGGAAGAACACCUAUGGCGAAGGCAGCUCUCUGGGACGGUACUGACGCUGAGACGCGAAAGCGUGGGGAGCGAACAGG